This 524-nucleotide long non-coding RNA is filed under the name Sus scrofa (pig). The record is from RNAcentral. Lineage: Eukaryota; Metazoa; Chordata; Mammalia; Artiodactyla; Suidae.
GAAGAGGAUGAGGAGGACAAAGAAGAGGAGGAAGAGGAAGACAGCGAGGAGGAAGACGACGACAGCGAGGAGGAAGAUGAGGAUUUUGUGGACCAAGAGGAGGUGGAGAAGCUUGGUCUUCCUGGGGCCAAAGCACCAGAUGCUGCUGCUUUUAAACUGGGAUAUUUUUUCCAGCGACUUAUGAUCCCAAAGUCUGUACCAGUCUUUGAAGAGGAUGAAUAUCUGGACGAAUAUUAUGAUGAAGAGGAAGAGGAUGAAAAUGAAAAGCCAGAAGAACUCGAAAUGGAUGUGGUCUCAAAAGAGGGCAGCCAUGAAAAAUAAAGUUGGAAGGCAUAGAAAGAAAAGGACAGCGGAAGGGAACAUGAAUUUGUCCUUUACAGAUGUUUUAGUUUUUAUUAGCCCAAAAUGUUAAUUUUUUUUCAAAGUUCAAAUGAUAUUACCUGACACCUGACUUUACCCUUAUCAUUUACAAAUAUAUUUGACAGCAUUGUUCACAUUGAAAAUAAAAACUUGUUUGAAAUGAA